GCAAGGUACUGCUUUGCCAUUUUAAAAAGAUAUUUAGUUGAAAGGAAGCUGUGAUUGGAUUUAUGUGACUUCCCUUUGCAAAAUUAUGGAGUGUAUCCAUUUAGGAAACAUCAAGAACUGGGUUAGAGGUCUACAGGGGAAUUUCUCUGUGUGUUACAUUUAUAUUUGCCAAGUUUGUAUCCUCUGUUAAGCUAUUUUUUAGGCACGACAAAACGGAGCUCAUUAGCAAUGAGCAGCAGAUUUUUUUUUAUAUGGCUGUGCUUUUUAUUCUCUAUUGGGUUUGGUUCUUUUUUUUUUUUAAGAUGUAUUUAUUUUAGAGAGAGUUGUGGGGGUGGGCAGAGAGGGGUGGCAGGUGGAGGAGAAAGUUUUUAAGCAGACUCUGCAUUGUGUGUAGAGCCUUACUUGGGGCUCAAUCUCAUGACCUGAUCUGAAACCAGGAGUUGAAGGCUUAACUGAGUGCACCACCCAGGCACCCCUCAUUUGAUUAUUUUCUGAUGAAACCUUUUGAAUAAUGCUGAGGCUUUACAAUAGGACAGGCAGUCUAGUCACUCUGCUUUGUGAUGGAACCUCAGUGUGUGCGUGUGUGUGUGUUGAAAGAGCAGCGCAAAGAACUGUAACACUUUGGGUCCCAGGCAGCUAUGCUGUGGAACAUCCUUAACUGAACAUGACCCUGGAAAGAUGACCAAGGGAAUCUUCUUCCCACUUCCAGAAAGAACCCUGACAAUGACACAUAAUGAGAUGAGGAGACAAUGGGAACAAGGUAAUCAUCACACCUUGGAACCUUGAAUAAGAGGGCAAGGGAGAGAGAUUCAAGCAUGCAUUAUCUAGCUAAAUCAGGAAAAGGUCUUGGCCACAGCUCACUGCUUCAGCGACUACCUCGAGGCCAGCUGGGGACCGACAGUCUCAGACACCGGCCAGUUGCCACAGAUGCAAUUGCUUUGAAAAGCAGGCUCCCGUCACCACUAACCUCAUGCAGAAGAAAUGAAAAUGGGAAACGUGGUGAUAUUUUAUUCAGUUUCCUCUGGCUCGUUCUAGGAAACAGAACCGAGGCAAAGGACGAUUGGAAUGAAAUGAGGUUUUCUUUUUAGCAAAUAAAUAUUCCAUAUGCAGAAGCA
This 1115-nucleotide long non-coding RNA is filed under the name Vulpes vulpes (red fox). Its description in RNAcentral is "lncRNA (ENSVVUG00000010438.1)". The record is from RNAcentral. Lineage: Eukaryota; Metazoa; Chordata; Mammalia; Carnivora; Canidae.